GGGCCCGCACAAGCGGAGGAACAUGUGGUUUAAUUCGAUGAUACGCGAGGAACCUUACCCGGGCUCGAACGGUAGACGAACAUACAUGAAAGUGUAUGGCUGGUAACAGCGGAUGCCGAGGUGCUGCAUGGUUGUCGUCAGCUCGUGCCGUGAGGUGUCGGCUUAAGUGCCAUAACGAGCGCAACCCUUACCGUUAGUUGCCAUCAGGUAAUGCUGGGAACUCUGACGGGACUGCCACCGUAAGGUGUGAGGAAGGUGGGGAUGACGUCAAAUCAGCACGGCCCUUACGUCCGGGGCGACACACGUGUUACAAUGGGAGGGACAGAAGGAUGCUACCCGGCGACGGGAUGCCAAUCCAAAAACCCUCUCCCAGUUCGGAUCGGAGCCUGCAACCCGGCUCCGUGAAGCUGGAUUCGCUAGUAAUCGCGCAUCAGCCAUGGCG
Molecule: ribosomal RNA, 442 nt
Filed under: uncultured Bacteroidota bacterium
Lineage: Bacteria; Pseudomonadati; Bacteroidota
Description: bacterial SSU rRNA
Rfam family: Bacterial small subunit ribosomal RNA
Source: RNAcentral